GCACCAGCAGCCAGUCCAUGAGCGGGUACCCGGCGCCGCCCACCACCCACUGCCCCUGCAGCAAGCCCGCGGCGCCGCGCUGCGCGUAGAGCGCGGAGCGGUCCAGCACGUCGGCGUCGGACAUGGAGCCCGGCCAGCCGAUGCAGACGUCCGUGAAGGCGCCGCCGGCGUCCACCACGCCCUGCACCGUGAUGGAGUACGAGGUCUUCUGAUUCCUCUCCGUGUGGCGGCGGUUGUAGUAGGCGGCGACGUUGGCCUUGGGCGCGAUGAUGGGGAUGUGGGUGGUGUACAUGGCGCCGACGACGCCCGGGAUCCCCGACGCGGCCUCGAAGGUCGCGGACACGCCCGCGGCGGCGUC
Molecule: long non-coding RNA, 358 nt
Filed under: Sorghum bicolor (sorghum)
Lineage: Eukaryota; Viridiplantae; Streptophyta; Magnoliopsida; Poales; Poaceae
Description: long non-coding RNA (SBIC_LNC004032)
Source: RNAcentral